RNAcentral lists this ribosomal RNA (430 nucleotides) under Acidobacteriota bacterium. RNAcentral describes it as "Acidobacteria bacterium partial 16S ribosomal RNA". It matches the Rfam family "Bacterial small subunit ribosomal RNA", at positions 355 to 776 of the family's 1533-position model. The record is from RNAcentral. Lineage: Bacteria; Pseudomonadati; Acidobacteriota.
UGGGGAAUAUUGGACAAUGGGCGAAAGCCUGAUCCAGCCAUGCCGCGUGUGUGAAGAAGGCCUUUUGGUUGUAAAGCACUUUAAGCGAGGAGGAGGCUACUUGGAUUAAUACUCAAGGAUAGUGGACGUUACUCGCAGAAUAAGCACCGGCUAACUCUGUGCCAGCAGCCGCGGUAAUACAGAGGGUGCGAGCGUUAAUCGGAUUUACUGGGCGUAAAGCGUGCGUAGGCGGCUUCUUAAGUCGGAUGUGAAAUCCCUGAGCUUAACUUAGGAAUUGCAUUCGAUACUGGGAAGCUAGAGUAUGGGAGAGGAUGGUAGAAUUCCAGGUGUAGCGGUGAAAUGCGUAGAGAUCUGGAGGAAUACCGAUGGCGAAGGCAGCCAUCUGGCCUAAUACUGACGCUGAGGUACGAAAGCAUGGGGAGCAAACAGG